RNAcentral lists this ribosomal RNA (2139 nucleotides) under Salmonella enterica subsp. enterica serovar Typhimurium. RNAcentral describes it as "partial 23S ribosomal RNA". It matches the Rfam family "Bacterial large subunit ribosomal RNA", at positions 830 to 2860 of the family's 2925-position model. The record is from RNAcentral. Lineage: Bacteria; Pseudomonadati; Pseudomonadota; Gammaproteobacteria; Enterobacterales; Enterobacteriaceae.
CAAUCAAACCGGGAGAUAGCUGGUUCUCCCCGAAAGCUAUUUAGGUAGCGCCUCGUGAAUUCAUCUCCGGGGGUAGAGCACUGUUUCGGCUAGGGGGCCAUCCCGGCUUACCAACCCGAUGCAAACUGCGAAUACCGGAGAAUGUUAUCACGGGAGACACACGGCGGGUGCUAACGUCCGUCGUGAAGAGGGAAACAACCCAGACCGCCAGCUAAGGUCCCAAAGUCAUGGUUAAGUGGGAAACGAUGUGGGAAGGCCCAGACAGCCAGGAUGUUGGCUUAGAAGCAGCCAUCAUUUAAAGAAAGCGUAAUAGCUCACUGGUCGAGUCGGCCUGCGCGGAAGAUGUAACGGGGCUAAACCAUGCACCGAAGCUGCGGCAGCGAACGUAUCACCCAAGACAACUUUACGGAGUUGACGAUUGACGGAGCGAAGCGACGUCAAAGCGUUCAUUAAAGUCGAGUUGGCUUAGGGAUACGUUCGUUGGGUAGGGGAGCGUUCUGUAAGCCUGUGAAGGUGUGUCGUGAGGCAUGCUGGAGGUAUCAGAAGUGCGAAUGCUGACAUAAGUAACGAUAAAGCGGGUGAAAAGCCCGCUCGCCGGAAGACCAAGGGUUCCUGUCCAACGUUAAUCGGGGCAGGGUGAGUCGACCCCUAAGGCGAGGCCGAAAGGCGUAGUCGAUGGGAAACGGGUUAAUAUUCCCGUACUUGGUGUUACUGCGAAGGGGGGACGGAGAAGGCUAUGUUGGCCGGGCGACGGUUGUCCCGGUUUAAGCGUGUAGGUGUGUGUUCCAGGUAAAUCCGGUUCACUUUAACACUGAGGCGUGACGACGAGGCACUACGGUGCUGAAGCAACAAAUGCCCUGCUUCCAGGAAAAGCCUCUAAGCAUCAGGUAACAUCAAAUCGUACCCCAAACCGACACAGGUGGUCAGGUAGAGAAUACCAAGGCGCUUGAGAGAACUCGGGUGAAGGAACUAGGCAAAAUGGUGCCGUAACUUCGGGAGAAGGCACGCUGACACGUAGGUGAAGUGAUUUACUCAUGGAGCUGAAGUCAGUCGAAGAUACCAGCUGGCUGCAACUGUUUAUUAAAAACACAGCACUGUGCAAACACGAAAGUGGACGUAUACGGUGUGACGCCUGCCCGGUGCCGGAAGGUUAAUUGAUGGGGUCAGCGCAAGCGAAGCUCCUGAUCGAAGCCCCGGUAAACGGCGGCCGUAACUAUAACGGUCCUAAGGUAGCGAAAUUCCUUGUCGGGUAAGUUCCGACCUGCACGAAUGGCGUAAUGAUGGCCAGGCUGUCUCCACCCGAGACUCAGUGAAAUUGAACUCGCUGUGAAGAUGCAGUGUACCCGCGGCAAGACGGAAAGACCCCGUGAACCUUUACUAUAGCUUGACACUGAACAUUGAGCCUUGAUGUGUAGGAUAGGUGGGAGGCUUUGAAGUGUGGACGCCAGUCUGCAUGGAGCCGACCUUGAAAUACCACCCUUUAAUGUUUGAUGUUCUAACGUGGACCCGUAAUCCGGGUUGCGGACAGUGUCUGGUGGGUAGUUUGACUGGGGCGGUCUCCUCCUAAAGAGUAACGGAGGAGCACGAAGGUUGGCUAAUCCUGGUCGGACAUCAGGAGGUUAGUGCAAUGGCAUAAGCCAGCUUGACUGCGAGCGUGACGGCGCGAGCAGGUGCGAAAGCAGGUCAUAGUGAUCCGGUGGUUCUGAAUGGAAGGGCCAUCGCUCAACGGAUAAAAGGUACUCCGGGGAUAACAGGCUGAUACCGCCCAAGAGUUCAUAUCGACGGCGGUGUUUGGCACCUCGAUGUCGGCUCAUCACAUCCUGGGGCUGAAGUAGGUCCCAAGGGUAUGGCUGUUCGCCAUUUAAAGUGGUACGCGAGCUGGGUUUAGAACGUCGUGAGACAGUUCGGUCCCUAUCUGCCGUGGGCGCUGGAGAACUGAGGGGGGCUGCUCCUAGUACGAGAGGACCGGAGUGGACGCAUCACUGGUGUUCGGGUUGUCAUGCCAAUGGCACUGCCCGGUAGCUAAAUGCGGAAGAGAUAAGUGCUGAAAGCAUCUAAGCACGAAACUUGCCCCGAGAUGAGUUCUCCCUGAGACUUAGAGUCUCCUGAAGGAACGUUGAAGACGACGACGUUGAUAGG